Molecule: ribosomal RNA, 326 nt
Filed under: uncultured prokaryote
Description: bacterial SSU rRNA
Rfam family: Bacterial small subunit ribosomal RNA
Source: RNAcentral
AGAUUGAACGCUGGCGGCGUGCCUAACACAUGCAAGUCGAGCGGUAGCAGGUGUAGCAAUACAUGCUGACGAGCGGCGAACGGGUGAGUAAUGCUUCGGAAUCUACCCACGGGUGGGGAAUAACCAACCGAAAGGUUGGCUAAUACCGCAUAUGCCCUACGGGGUAAAGCGAGGGAUCGUAAGACCUCGCGCUGGUGGAUGAGCCUACGUCCGAUUAGUUAGUUGGUAGGGUAAAGGCCUACCAAGGCUACGAUCGGUAGCUGGUCUGAGAGGACGACCAGCCACACUGGGACUGAGACACGGCCCAGACUCCUACGGGAGGCAGC